GCAAACGCAAAUUUAAAUCCGCACAUGCACCGUCACGGACAGCGGGGUGCCUCAUGAGAAUGGGGUUGCUGCUCUGGGGUGUAUGGAGGCCCAACC
This 96-nucleotide small RNA is filed under the name Ectothiorhodosinus mongolicus. Its description in RNAcentral is "t44 RNA". It matches the Rfam family "t44 RNA". Rfam says of the family: This family consists of a number of bacterial RNA genes of between 135 and 170 bases in length. Lineage: Bacteria; Pseudomonadati; Pseudomonadota; Gammaproteobacteria; Chromatiales; Ectothiorhodospiraceae. The record is from RNAcentral.